Molecule: ribosomal RNA, 537 nt
Filed under: uncultured bacterium
Lineage: Bacteria
Description: bacterial SSU rRNA
Rfam family: Bacterial small subunit ribosomal RNA
Source: RNAcentral
ACUGAAUAGAUACCCUGGUAGUCCAUGCUGUAAACGAUGAGAACUAGAUGUUAGGGGGCAUGACCUCUUAGUAUCGAAGCUAACGCGAUAAGUUCUCCGCCUGGGGAGUACGGCCGCAAGGUUAAAACUCAAAGAAAUUGACGGGGGCCCGCACAAGCGGUGGAGCAUGUGGUUUAAUUCGAUGCAACGCGAAGAACCUUACCUACCUUUGAAUCCACGGAACCUAGCAGAGAUGUUGGGGUGCCUUCGGGAGCCGUGAGACAGGUGCUGCAUGGCUGUCGUCAGCUCGUGUCGUGAGAUGUUGGGUUAAGUCCCGUAACGAGCGCAACCCUUGUCCUUAGUUGCCAUCAGGUUAUGCUGGGCACUUUAAGGAGACUGCCGGUGAUAAACCGGAGGAAGGUGGGGAUGACGUCAAGUCCUCAUGGCCCUUACAGGUAGGGCUACACACGUGCUACAAUGGGCAGUACAGAGGGAAGCCAACCCGCGAGGGGAGCGAAUCUCAUAAAGCUGUUCGUAGUCCGGAUUGGAGUCUGCAAC